This 497-nucleotide ribosomal RNA is filed under the name uncultured bacterium. RNAcentral's name for it is "partial 16S ribosomal RNA". It matches the Rfam family "Bacterial small subunit ribosomal RNA", at positions 28 to 507 of the family's 1533-position model. The record is from RNAcentral.
GAUGAACGCCGGCGGCGUGCCUAAUACAUGCAAGUAGAACGCUGAAGGAAGGAGCUUGCUCUUUCCGGAUGAGUUGCGAACGGGUGAGUAACGCGUAGGUAACCUGCCUGGUAGCGGGGGAUAACUAUUGGAAACGAUAGCUAAUACCGCAUAACAGUAGAUGUUGCAUGAUAUCUACUUAAAAGGUGCAAUUGCACCACUACCAGAUGGACCUGCGUUGUAUUAGCUAGUUGGUGAGGUAACGGCUCACCAAGGCGACGAUACAUAGCCGACCUGAGAGGGUGAUCGGCCACACUGGGACUGAGACACGGCCCAGACUCCUACGGGAGGCAGCAGUAGGGAAUCUUCGGCAAUGGACGGAAGUCUGACCGAGCAACGCCGCGUGAGUGAAGAAGGUUUUCGGAUCGUAAAGCUCUGUUGUAAGAGAAGAACGAGUGUGAGAGUGGAAAGUUCACACUGUGACGGUAUCUUACCAGAAAGGGACGGCUAACUACGUG